This 554-nucleotide ribosomal RNA is filed under the name uncultured Bifidobacterium sp. RNAcentral's name for it is "bacterial SSU rRNA". It matches the Rfam family "Bacterial small subunit ribosomal RNA", at positions 146 to 711 of the family's 1533-position model. Lineage: Bacteria; Bacillati; Actinomycetota; Actinomycetes; Bifidobacteriales; Bifidobacteriaceae. The record is from RNAcentral.
UCUCCUGGAAACGGGUGGUAAUGCCGGAUGCUCCCGCGCCCCGCAUGGGGUGUGGGGAAAGCUUUCGUGGCAUGGGAUGGGGUCGCGUCCUAUCAGCUUGUUGGCGGGGUGAGGGCCCACCAAGGCGUUGACGGGUAGCCGGCCUGAGAGGGCGACCGGCCACAUUGGGACUGAGAUGCGGCCCAGACUCCUACGGGAGGCAGCAGUGGGGAAUAUUGCACAAUGGGCGCAAGCCUGAUGCAGCGACGCCGCGUGCGGGAUGGAGGCCUUCGGGUUGUAAACCGCUUUUGUUUGGGAGCAAGCCCUUCGGGGUGAGUGUACCUUUCGAAUAAGCACCGGCUAACUACGUGCCAGCAGCCGCGGUAAUACGUAGGGUGCGAGCGUUAUCCGGAAUUAUUGGGCGUAAAGGGCUCGUAGGCGGUUCGUCGCGUCCGGUGUGAAAGUCCAUCGCUUAACGGUGGAUCCGCGUCGGGUACGGGCGGGCUGGAGUGCGGUAGGGGAGACUGGAAUUCCCGGUGUAACGGUGGAAUGUGUAGAUAUCGGGAAGAACACCA